GCCCAACUGAGCCUCGGGGGUCCGGGGUGCAGGCUUCAAACCUGUAGCUGACUAUCGUCAGAGUGGUUUGACUCCACCUGGUGGGCG
This 87-nucleotide transfer RNA is filed under the name Penaeus chinensis. Its description in RNAcentral is "tRNA-Sec". It matches the Rfam family "Selenocysteine transfer RNA". Lineage: Eukaryota; Metazoa; Arthropoda; Malacostraca; Decapoda; Penaeidae. The record is from RNAcentral.